This 519-nucleotide ribosomal RNA is filed under the name uncultured bacterium. RNAcentral describes it as "bacterial SSU rRNA". It matches the Rfam family "Bacterial small subunit ribosomal RNA", at positions 28 to 526 of the family's 1533-position model. The record is from RNAcentral.
GACGAACGCUGGCGGCGUGCCUAAUACAUGCAAGUCGAGCGAAUGACUAGAGAAGCUUGCUUCUCUAUGAUUUAGCGGCGGACGGGUGAGUAACACGUGGGUAACCUACCCUAUAGACUGGGAUAACUUCGGGAAACCGGAGCUAAUACCGGAUAAUACUUCGAAACACAUGGUUUGAAGUUGAAAGAUGGUUUCGGCUAUCACUAUAGGAUGGACCCGCGGCGCAUUAGCUAGUUGGUGAGGUAACGGCUCACCAAGGCAACGAUGCGUAGCCGACCUGAGAGGGUGAUCGGCCACACUGGGACUGAGACACGGCCCAGACUCCUACGGGAGGCAGCAGUAGGGAAUCUUCCACAAUGGACGAAAGUCUGAUGGAGCAACGCCGCGUGAGUGAAGAAGGAUUUCGGUUCGUAAAACUCUGUUGCAAGGGAAGAACAAGUAGCGUAGUAACUGGCGCUACCUUGACGGUACCUUGUUAGAAAGCCACGGCUAACUACGUGCCAGCCGCCGCCGUAACAC